GUGCUUGCUUCAGCAGCACGUAUACUAAAAUUGGAAUGAUACAGGGAAGAUUAGCAUGGCCCCUGCACAAGGAUGACACAAAUUCAUGAAGCAUUCCAUAGUUUU
Small nuclear RNA from Nycticebus coucang (slow loris), 105 nucleotides. NCBI's taxonomy places the organism in Eukaryota, Metazoa, Chordata, Mammalia, Primates, Lorisidae. The record is from RefSeq and is a predicted model, not a curated record.